GCGUCCUUAGUACAGUGGUUAGUACACCUGACAUGGAUAUCAGUGACAUGGGUUCGACUCCCACAGGACACA
This 72-nucleotide transfer RNA is filed under the name Puccinia coronata f. sp. avenae. Its description in RNAcentral is "Puccinia coronata var. avenae f. sp. avenae partial tRNA-Pro". It matches the Rfam family "tRNA". Rfam says of the family: Transfer RNA (tRNA) molecules are approximately 80 nucleotides in length. Their secondary structure includes four short double-helical elements and three loops (D, anti-codon, and T loops). Lineage: Eukaryota; Fungi; Basidiomycota; Pucciniomycetes; Pucciniales; Pucciniaceae. The record is from RNAcentral.